This 459-nucleotide ribosomal RNA is filed under the name uncultured bacterium. Its description in RNAcentral is "partial 16S ribosomal RNA". It matches the Rfam family "Bacterial small subunit ribosomal RNA", at positions 339 to 795 of the family's 1533-position model. The record is from RNAcentral.
CUACGGGUCGCACCAGUGAGGAAUAUUGGUCAAUGGGCGUAAGCCUGAACCAGCCAAGUAGCGUGAAGGAUGACUGCCCUCUGGGUUGUAAACUUCUUUUAUAGGGGAAUAAAGUGCAUCACGUGUGAUGUUUUGUAUGUACCCUACGAACAAGGACCGGCUAACUCCGUGCCAGCAGCCGCGGUAAUACGGAGGGUCCGAGCGUUAUCCGGAUUUAUUGGGUUUAAAGGGUGCGCAGGCGGGAUGUUAAGUCAGUUGUGAAAGUUGGACGCUCAACGUUCAAAUUGCAAUUGAAACUGGCAUUCUUGAGUGCAGUGGAGGUAAGCGGAAUUCGUGGUGUAGCGGUGAAAUGCUUAGAUAUCACGAAGAACUCCGAUUGCGAAGGCAGCUUGCUAUACUGCAACUGACGCUCAUGCACGAAGGUGUGGGUAUCAAACAGGAUUAGAUACCCCCGUAGUC